GCUGUAGGACAGGGGCAGAACAUCUGCUUUGUAUGCAGAAGGUCCCAGAUUCAAUCCCUGGCUUCUCCA
This is a non-coding RNA of Podarcis lilfordi (Lilford's wall lizard), 69 nucleotides long. NCBI's taxonomy places the organism in Eukaryota, Metazoa, Chordata, Lepidosauria, Squamata, Lacertidae. The record is from the annotation of a GenBank genome assembly.